GAUGAACGCUGGCGGCGUGCCUAACACAUGCAAGUCGAGCGAUUCUCUUCGGAGAAGAGCGGCGGACGGGUGAGUAACGCGUGGGUAACCUGCCCUGUACACACGGAUAACAUACCGAAAGGUAUGCUAAUACGAGAUAAUAUGCUUUUAUCGCAUGGUAGAAGUAUCAAAGCUUUUGCGGUACAGGAUGGACCCGCGUCUGUUUAGCUAGUUGGUAAGGUAACGGCUUACCAAGGCGACGAUCAGUAGCCGACCUGAGAGGGUGAUCGGCCACAUUGGAACGGAGACGCGGUCCAAACUCCUACGGGAGGCAGCAGUGGGGAAUAUUGCACAAUGGGCGAAAGCCUGAUGCAGCAACGCCGCGUGAGCGAUGAAGGCCUUCGGGUCGUAAAGCUCUGUCCUCAAGGAAGAUAAUGACGGUACUUGAGGAGGAAGCCCCGGCUAACUACGUGCCAGCCGCCGCGGUAA
This 468-nucleotide ribosomal RNA is filed under the name uncultured bacterium. RNAcentral describes it as "partial 16S ribosomal RNA". It matches the Rfam family "Bacterial small subunit ribosomal RNA", at positions 28 to 523 of the family's 1533-position model. The record is from RNAcentral.